GUCAGGAUAGCCGAGUGGUCUAAGGCGCCAGACUCAAGUUCUGGUCCUCCUGAGAGGGCGUGGGUAAAGGGCGUGGGUUCAAAUCCCACUUCUAACA
This 97-nucleotide transfer RNA is filed under the name Ipomoea nil (Japanese morning glory). It matches the Rfam family "tRNA". Rfam says of the family: Transfer RNA (tRNA) molecules are approximately 80 nucleotides in length. Their secondary structure includes four short double-helical elements and three loops (D, anti-codon, and T loops). The record is from Rfam by way of RNAcentral. Lineage: Eukaryota; Viridiplantae; Streptophyta; Magnoliopsida; Solanales; Convolvulaceae.